GUGGUGGAUUUGGAAGGAGGAUGGAAAAGUUGCGUUGGUGAAUGACGGAGACGGUUCAUGGGAACCAUCGAGGAUGUUUGGAAGCAAAGACGUUUGGCUAAGAAGGCUCCUCCGGGACCGAAGCAACAACACUUGCACCGGAAGAGGCAGACAGUGGCGUGGCCAUGGUCAAGCGGCAUUUUGUCGGGAAGUUCGAGAUACCGGUGGACAGAACGGUCUCCCCGCAUUGGAGACGGCUUUGCCGUCACCCCGACCUACACCACGUCAGGGAUCUAAAGGCCAAGUUCAAGGCGACACGUGACAUGUCGACACGGUACUGGCUGUCCACUUUCUCGGGAUCACGCCGCAGGCCUUUCUGCCUGACGAGAUCGUCACAUACACCACUUGUGUCGGCAUGUUUGACAUCGCGACAAAGUUCCCUUCCUGGCGGACUCGGCGAGGGAAGUUCCCUCUAGGCGGACUUGACAGUACGCGCGUGUCGGCCUUAGUCGGCCUGCACAGACUUCGCGCUGGAACACCGCUGGUGUCGGCCUGGUCGACGUCGAGGGAACUUCCCUCGUGUGUGACUUGGCAAGGAACACCGCUAGUGGCGGACUUAACGCAAGAACACCGUUCGUGUCGGCCUGGUAGCGGGAUCUUCCCUCGUGUCGGACAUCACGUAAGAAGCCCGUUCGU
Molecule: long non-coding RNA, 675 nt
Organism: Branchiostoma belcheri (Belcher's lancelet)
Lineage: Eukaryota; Metazoa; Chordata; Leptocardii; Amphioxiformes; Branchiostomatidae
Exons: 3
Source: RefSeq, a predicted model, not a curated record